AGUCGUAACAAGGUUUCCGUAGGUGAACCUGCGGAAGGAUCAUUACCGAGUGCGGGCUGCCUCCGGGCGCCCAACCUCCCACCCGUGACUACCUAACACUGUUGCUUCGGCGGGGAGCCCCCCAGGGGCGAGCCGCCGGGGACCACUGAACUUCAUGCCUGAGAGUGAUGCAGUCUGAGCCUGAAUACAAAUCAGUCAAAACUUUCAACAAUGGAUCUCUUGGUUCCGGCAUCGAUGAAGAACGCAGCGAACUGCGAUAAGUAAUGUGAAUUGCAGAAUUCAGUGAAUCAUCGAGUCUUUGAACGCACAUUGCGCCCCCUGGCAUUCCGGGGGGCAUGCCUGUCCGAGCGUCAUUGCUGCCCUCAAGCCCGGCUUGUGUGUUGGGUCGUCGUCCCCCCCGGGGGACGGGCCCGAAAGGCAGCGGCGGCACCGUGUCCGGUCCUCGAGCGUAUGGGGCUUUGUCACCCGCUCGAUUAGGGCCGGCCGGGCGCCAGCCGGCGUCUCCAACCUUAUUUUUCUCAGGUUGACCUCGGAUCAGGUAGGGAUACCCGCUGAACCUAAGCAUAUCA
Molecule: unclassified non-coding RNA, 569 nt
Filed under: Aspergillus nidulans
Lineage: Eukaryota; Fungi; Ascomycota; Eurotiomycetes; Eurotiales; Aspergillaceae
Description: sequence contains 18S rRNA gene, ITS1, 5.8S rRNA gene, ITS2, 28S rRNA gene
Rfam family: 5.8S ribosomal RNA (bases 200-353)
Source: RNAcentral